This 433-nucleotide ribosomal RNA is filed under the name uncultured bacterium. RNAcentral's name for it is "partial 16S ribosomal RNA". It matches the Rfam family "Bacterial small subunit ribosomal RNA", at positions 29 to 507 of the family's 1533-position model. The record is from RNAcentral.
AACGAACGCUGGCGGCAUGCCUAACACAUGCAAGUCGAACGAGACCUUCGGGUCUAGUGGCGCACGGGUGCGUAACGCGUGGGAACCUGCCCUUAGGUUCGGAAUAACUCCCCGAAAGGGGUGCUAAUACCGGCUAAUGUCUUCGGACCAAAGAUUUAUCGCCUUUGGUUGGGCCCGCGUUGGAUUAGCUAGUUGGUAGGGUAAAAGCCUACCAAGGAGACGAUCCAUAGCUGGUCUGAGAGGAUGAUCAGCCACACUGGAACUGAGACACGGCCCAGACUCCUAAGGGAGGCAGCAGUGGGGAAUAUGGGACAAUGGGCGAAAGCCUGAUCCAGCAAUGCCGCGUGAGUGAUGAAGGCCUUAGGGUUGUAAAGCUCUUUUACCCGGGAUGAUAAUGACAGUACCGGGAGAAUAAGCUCCGGCUAACUCCGUG